Molecule: long non-coding RNA, 1329 nt
Organism: Meleagris gallopavo (turkey)
Lineage: Eukaryota; Metazoa; Chordata; Aves; Galliformes; Phasianidae
Source: RefSeq, a predicted model, not a curated record
UAGCUUGUCUGUUUCCUCUUUCUCCCUUCAUACAUCAUCAAGAAGGAUUUGGUGGCUGUUACUGAAGUUGAUGAAUCUGACUGAAAUUUCUUUUCUGGGUUGUGUGUUAUAGGGGUUGAGGAGGAUAUCUAGGAACUGAUGGUUGACCUGGAUACUUGGCAGUGGGAUCCAGAGUUUCACUGGUUCUUAACAGAGAAAGGAGUCUGGAAGAAAAUAUAAGCAUUUCCAUCAGUUCACAGGGAACUGGAAUUGGUUUCCCUGGUUUGAAAGGAGACCUUCAGAAUGACAAUCAAAAUAUAAGGAAUUCCUUAUCACAUCAGAAAAAAAACCAACAAAUUUUGAAAAGGGAAAGGAGUGGGACAGGGAUAUUCAUUUGACUGUUUCUUUUCUGAAACACUAAUGUACACUUUGAACUGACCUGUCAUUUGAAAAAUGAGCAAUACCAGAAGUUAUGAAGUGCAAAGAAAAUAUACAAGAAGAGGAGAAAAGAAGGAGUCUUGGAACAGUAAUCAAAGGGAGUACUUUUUCUGUCCUUGCUAACAGGAAUAGUACAAAGGUGGAAUUCAUGAAGAAACAAAGAGAAAAAAAAUAUCUUGUAAAUGUUUGUAUCAAAAUCUCAUCUGACACCAACCCUUUUUUUAUGGAAGGAAGUCAGCACUACUGGAAAAGAAAAUGCUAAAUCUGUGUUCUUUGAUUCAUCUUCAUUUCUUCUGCUUACCUAAGAACACAGCAACACUGUCCAGGUUAGAGAGAAAAAAAUGCAUAUAUUUUUUUCUCCAUCUAUGGUUCUCUUUAUGUUUUUUACUCCAUGCAGAAUUUUACCUAACUUGCAUCAUUUUUCAGGAGCUUAUUCAAAACAGAUUUCCUAAAAAUAAUAUACAAUUACGGGGCUAAAGUACCAGAAAAUGGAAACAAACAGUUUUGUGAACUCCACUGUACGUACAGGAUUUAGAUGCAGUUGAAAAUGUCAUCAAUUUUUACAUGUAAGAAGGAAGAGACAAAGGAAACAAAGAUAAAGAGGGAAAAGUCUUUAGGGACAGCAAGCUGAUUCAGAACAAUAUGGAAGUAAUCAAAAGUCAGUCAACAGACAAAAUAAAUCUUCAUAGAAGGGAAGUAUUGGCUAAAGCUAAAGCAGUUUAUGGAAGGUUGGGCUAAGAUAGAUGCAGUCUGUUUAUAUAAAACACUAAGAGAUUACAAAAAAGAUAUUAGAUAAUUAGCAUUGGCUAAAGCUCACAUGGUUUGGAGCUCUAUUUCAGUUAGAAUAAGCAUCAAGAAAUGUAUCUGGUUUACUAGAUCUUCUCCAUGGCUUUGUGUUUACAGCCCCUCUCC